UGGGGAAUUUUGGACAAUGGGGGCAACCCUGAUCCAGCAAUGCCGCGUGAGUGAAGAAGGCCUUCGGGUUGUAAAGCUCUUUUGUCUGGGAAGAAAUCCUUUGGGCUAAUACCUCGGAGGGAUGACGGUACCGGAAGAAUAAGCACCGGCUAACUACGUGCCAGCAGCCGCGGUAAUACGUAGGGUGCGAGCGUUAAUCGGAAUUACUGGGCGUAAAGCGUGCGCAGGCGGUUGUGCAAGACAGAGGUGAAAUCCCCGAGCUUAACUUGGGAACUGCCUUUGUGACUGCACGGCUAGAGUGUGUCAGAGGGGGGUAGAAUUCCACGUGUAGCAGUGAAAUGCGUAGAGAUGUGGAGGGAAUACCGAUGGCGAAGGCAGCCCCCUGGGAUAACACUGACGCUCAUGCACGAAAGCCGUGGGGAGCAAACAGGAUUAGAUACCCUGGUAGUCCACGCCCUAAACGAUGUCAACUAGUUGUCGGGUCUUAAUUGACUUGGUAACGCAGCUAACGCGUGAAGUUGACCGCCUGGGGAGUACGGUCGCAAGAUU
This 549-nucleotide ribosomal RNA is filed under the name uncultured bacterium. RNAcentral describes it as "partial 16S ribosomal RNA". It matches the Rfam family "Bacterial small subunit ribosomal RNA", at positions 355 to 895 of the family's 1533-position model. The record is from RNAcentral.